UACGGGGGGGGUAAGCGUUGUUCGGAAUUACUGGGCGUAAAGGGCUCGUAGGCGGCCAACUAAGUCAUACGUGAAAUCCCUCAGCUUAACUGGGGAACUGCGUGUGAUACUGGAUGGCUUGGAUUUGGGAGAGGGAUGCGGAAUUCCAGGUGUAGCGGUGAAAUGCGUAGAUAUCCGGAGGAACACCGAUGGCGAAGGCAGCUGCCUGGCCUGACACUGACGCUGAGGUGCGAAAGCGUGGGGAGCGAACGGG
RNAcentral lists this ribosomal RNA (253 nucleotides) under uncultured bacterium. RNAcentral describes it as "partial 16S ribosomal RNA". It matches the Rfam family "Bacterial small subunit ribosomal RNA", at positions 524 to 776 of the family's 1533-position model. The record is from RNAcentral.